GUAGCCCUGCUGUGUUCGUGAUUGCCGUACAGGUUUUGAGCCAACACCUAACAAAAUGGGGACCAUUUUUCCGGGCGUGAUGCGAUAGCCUUCGGGCAAGGCAGAGCGACUGGAUAGGUACCCACCUGCGAAAGCAGGUUCAAAACGCACCGGCACGCGGCAUGGCGGGGUGUGC
RNAcentral lists this non-coding RNA (175 nucleotides) under Chloroflexota bacterium. RNAcentral describes it as "Chloroflexi bacterium (anaerobic digester metagenome) 6S RNA". It matches the Rfam family "6S / SsrS RNA". Rfam says of the family: E. coli 6S RNA was the first non coding RNA to be sequenced, but its function was unknown until recently. Lineage: Bacteria; Bacillati; Chloroflexota. The record is from RNAcentral.